AUUGGGGCUUAUGUGAAGAACAAGAAGAAUCAGAAUCAGAUUUGCUGGACAUGGCAAAAAGUUAGCUUGGAGAAUGACAAGGACUUCCAACGUUUCUUGGAUAAUGUUCAAUACAAGUCUAGUGGGAUCUUGCGCUAUGAGCGUGUCUUUGGGGAAGGAUAUGUGAGCACUGGUGGAGCUG
Camelina sativa (false flax) is the source of this 181-nucleotide non-coding RNA. The record is from RefSeq and is a predicted model, not a curated record. Lineage: Eukaryota; Viridiplantae; Streptophyta; Magnoliopsida; Brassicales; Brassicaceae.